GCCGGUGUAGCUCAGUGGCAGAGCAGCUGAUUUGUAAUCAGCGGGUCGUGGGUUCGAAUCCCUCCGCCGGCUCCA
RNAcentral lists this transfer RNA (75 nucleotides) under Pseudomonadota bacterium. RNAcentral's name for it is "tRNA-Thr". It matches the Rfam family "tRNA". Rfam says of the family: Transfer RNA (tRNA) molecules are approximately 80 nucleotides in length. Their secondary structure includes four short double-helical elements and three loops (D, anti-codon, and T loops). Lineage: Bacteria; Pseudomonadati; Pseudomonadota. The record is from RNAcentral. RNAcentral also lists the same sequence under 1 other name.